Molecule: ribosomal RNA, 492 nt
Filed under: uncultured bacterium
Lineage: Bacteria
Description: partial 16S ribosomal RNA
Rfam family: Bacterial small subunit ribosomal RNA
Source: RNAcentral
AGUGAACGCUGGCGGUAGGCCUAACACAUGCAAGUCGAACGGCAGCACAGUAAUAGCUUGCUCCUACGGGUGGCGAGUGGCGGAUGGCUGGGGGAUAAAUCGGAAUCUACUUUUUCGUGGGGGUGAACAACGGGAAAUUAUACCUAAUAGCGGAUAUCACUAGCGGGGGAAUGCGGGGGUUCUUUGGAUCUUGGGUGAUUGAACGAGCUAAUGGCGGAUUGGCUAGUUAGCGGGGUAACGGCCCACCAAGGGGUCGAUCGGUAGCUGGUGUGAACGGAGGAUCAGCGACACUGGAGGUGUGCCACGGUACAGACUCCUAGGGGAGGCAGCAGUGGGGAAUAGUGGACAAUGGGCGCAAGACUGAUCCAGCCGUGCCGCGUGGGUGAAGAAGGCCUUCGGGUUGUAAAACCCUUUUGUUGGGAAAGAAAAGCAGCAGGAUGAUACCCCGCUGUUCUGACGGUACCCAAAGAAUAAGCACCGGCUAACUUCGUG